CGCUCACGUUUCACUUCUCGCUCUAUGAUUGGCUGGCAGUCGGACGGAUGUCGCUGAUUGGUUGAGAUGGUCCUGACUGGAAACUGACGGCGCGAUCAAAAGCGCUCAGCGCUCAGGCCAAACGCGCAUUGACUGACGGCACGAGCAGGAGACGCGUCGCUGCAGGAGCGUUUGUGUUGUUCUGGACUACUUUAUAACUCUUCGAUAUUUUUUUGUGAACAGUUGGGGUAACGGGAAACAAUAUAAGGUGGACUGACUCAGCAAACCAAAAAUAAACAUGCUGUGCGUUCGCAGUUCAGGCGACUGUUUCCGGGACCAGAUGCGCUACAUGAUGAGGUCUCUGCAGGAUCUGAAGCAGAUACGUGAACCCGCCGACCAAUCAAAGUGCUCAUAUGCGACUCGAGCAUGUCAAAAAAGGGCACAACAGCGGGAGCAGCUCAGCCGCCUGCGGAAUUCUGACGUC
This is a long non-coding RNA of Sinocyclocheilus anshuiensis, 463 nucleotides long. RefSeq lists it as uncharacterized. The record is from RefSeq and is a predicted model, not a curated record. NCBI's taxonomy places the organism in Eukaryota, Metazoa, Chordata, Actinopteri, Cypriniformes, Cyprinidae. The transcript is spliced from 3 exons.